AUUGACGGACUGAAGGCUCUUUCUCGAUUCCGUGGAAAGUGGUGCAUGGCCGUUUUUGGUUGGUGGAUCGAUCCGUCUGGUUAAUUCCGUUAACGAACGAGACCUCGGCACUCCGAAUAGCGCGGCGGACGUCGCGGCCUCCGGGCCGUCUUCCGCACGAGCUUCUUAGAGGGACCGUCCCCCGCCGGGGAAGGAGGUGCGAGGCAACGACAGGUCUGUGAUGCCCUUAGAUGUUCUGGGCCGCACGCGCAUUACACUGACGCGUCCAACGGGUGACUCCCGACCCGAAGGGGCCGGGGAAUCCGCAAGGCGCGUCGUGAUGGGGAUUGAACGUUGCAAUUGUUGUUCACGAACGAGGAAUUCCUAGUAGGCGCGGGUCAUCAACCCGCGCCGAUUACGUCCCUGCCC
RNAcentral lists this ribosomal RNA (408 nucleotides) under uncultured eukaryote. RNAcentral's name for it is "bacterial SSU rRNA". It matches the Rfam family "Eukaryotic small subunit ribosomal RNA", at positions 1239 to 1658 of the family's 1831-position model. The record is from RNAcentral.